RNAcentral lists this ribosomal RNA (254 nucleotides) under uncultured bacterium. RNAcentral's name for it is "partial 16S ribosomal RNA". It matches the Rfam family "Bacterial small subunit ribosomal RNA", at positions 524 to 776 of the family's 1533-position model. The record is from RNAcentral.
UACGAAGGGGGCUAGCGUUGUUCGGAAUCACUGGGCGUAAAGCGCACGCAGGCGGAUUGAUAAGUCAGGGGUGAAAUCCCGGAGCUCAACUUCGGAAUUGCCUUUGAUACUGUCUGUCUUCGAGUUCGGGAGAGGUUGGCGGAAUUCCUAGUGUAGAGGUGAAAUUCGUAGAUAUUAGGAAGAACACCAGUGGCGAAGGCGGCCAACUGGCCCGACACUGACGCUCAUGUGCGAAAGCGUGGGGAGCAAACAGG